UAAGUGAAGUUCCUUGAAAGCAGCACACAACUUUUCUCUAAAGCUGUGAAAUUGGCAAAGGAUAUAGUACAAGAAGAAAAAGAGAAUACAGAUGACAUCGGGGGUCCAAGAGACAUUCCAUAUUUAAGCUUCAUAAUGUCCUUAUUUGCACACAUAUACCACACUGCCUUCAUUUUCUCCAGCUGAUAGAUUUGUGUAAGAAAUCUUGACUUUGAGAGUUCAAUGUCAUUCCCAACAGGGUCUUUAUGUCUGUCUGGUCAUGUUAUCAGCCAGUCUUACUUAAUGUAUUAGGCCAGUUGGAAACCAUCAUUAAAGAAACUGACCCUGGUGAUCACCAGAGUAGUUUCAGACUAUAAACAACACAUCAUAAAUCCCACUGCCCUUAUCUUGGCCCAAAGACAAAACUGGACAUUCUGAUGACCCCAGAGAUUAUGACAGUGUUUUCUGGUCUAAUUAAACCAUAGUCUUCAUAUACCUUUACCACGCCUCCUUCCUCCAAUUAGGAAGCUAAGUGGGUAAGAAAGAAAAAAUAAAGGCAGAGCAUAACGAUGUCACCCAUCUUUGGCCUCUUAGCCGGAGCUGAUCCUUACAUGGGCAGUAGACUAUAAGUGUGUUAAUUAUUUUUCCUACUGCAGAGCUUCUUCACGUUGGAAUGGUGAAUAGGUACACAUUUCUCAAAGCUCAAAGUGCAAGUCUAGGUAUAUUCUCUAGUUUCAAUCUUGGUGAAAUUUUUUUCUAUGAAUUCAUUACUUUUUAGUUUAUUUCAGGGAGGGGGUGGUGUUUUUUAAUGAAUUAAUACAAGUGUCAGCAUCUUUCAUGGACAUCCAGACAAUUUCUUAAAGAUGGGAGAGGUAAAAAAUCUUCAGGAGAAACUGUGCCUGAACUGUGAGUAUCCAGAAGCCAUUGACCAUGUUAAUGGUGGAGCCAAUAUGAAGUACUUGCUAAAUCAUGUGGUGCGUGAAAGGAAGAGCAAUGUUAUAAUUGCAUCCUCCUAAAGACUACAUAACCAUCAUCACUCAUCAUCUCUCCCUGGUCCCUUCCACCUGCCAAACCCCCAUAAAAACCCAUAAUUGAUGAUACAUAUUAGUUUAUAAUUAACGGCGUACCUAACUGUUCUCUACUAGUCUGAGCCUCUGUACAGAGAAAUGUCAGUUUUGUAUUCCUGGUUCCUGGAAAAGUACAUAUAGAAUAGUAUAAAUACAAUAAAUGUUUGAAUUAUCGUAUAACUUGAGUCUAAAUUUUAAGUUAGUAUCCUGUAUUAAGAACUGGGUUGAUCAAAUGGUUCUUUCUUUGCACAUAUCAAGGCUUUCGACUAUUCCCAACCAGGUCUUCCCAAAUUUGGGCAUAUUCCUGCCUCUGCCUACCCUGUUCUAAUUUGGCACUCUAAAGAUAGUUCAUAAAAAGCAAGCCAAAGAUAGAAAAGAGAGCUAAGGCUACAGGAGGAAUUUACUCUUUAACAUUUGGGGGAAGGAAAAUGAGGCUUGUCUACAGCAGGGACUGGCUGUCUUCCAGAAAUGGUUUCCCAAGGUGUUCCCUACCUCUCUUUUUCUUGGAUAUCUUUUUGCAUUAUAGAUAGCCUUGGGAAGGGUGUCACCUUUAUCCUAUCAGUUCCACCUAAUCAACUGUAGUCAUCUGAGAGCCAGAAUUAUUAUUGAUAGAGGGGCCUGGGAAAGGAGAAAAGGACCAGGAGAGAGGAAGGUAUACUUAUUGCAGAGGAGAAAAGCCAAAGAACGUUUGCCCAUGGGCAGUCUUAGCUAUUUAAAAUCACCCACUUCUUCAUCCGGCUCCCUUGGCAUAUGUAUCAGCCCAUGGAUUGGGAGGUGUAGGACCAUUCUUUUUCUUUCUGGAAGGAAAGCACUGACAUUUAAGCUCUGUGCGGUCUGCUCAGGGGCUGCCCAGUUUGUCCAAGCUUUAGGAUAUUAGAGAGAUUACGCAUUUGUGGUCUCAAGUUAGGAAACUGUUGAAGAACAAAUAUGUCCCUUAUUAGAGGGCCUCUUUAGAUGUUUAGGGUACUCACAAUCCUUGCCAACCUGAUGUCCUUGGAAGCUCCAGUCUGGCUGUAAGGAGAUGAUGAGGGGUUCUGUGUGUUGGAGGUGAUGACCUCAUUGAGUCUCAGCCACAGCAGGGCAUUAUGCAGGAAAGAAUUCAAUGGAGUUAUUUAAUACCUUUCCCUAUUCCCACAAAAAUCUGGAACUGGGUUCUGAACUGAGAAGUCUGGGUUCCCUGAGAAUUGGACAUCAGUUCAACCACAGGAAGCCUCUAAAUUUAGCACUCUACUCACAGAGGGCCAAGAAAAAUUCACAAAUGUCACAAACUUAGGAACUUAGGUAUCUAGUCUUCUCUGUCAUUUUGUAAUGAGAAACUGAGGCCCAUAGGUAAAACAUCUCACCUCCAGUCACACAGGUAAGUACAUGGCAGGGCAAGGACAGGCACCCAGUUUUCCCAAGUCCAGUGGCCUUUUCAUGAUACCCAUUUCUGUGUAUCAUUUCAUUGAUUUCUGUGACAGCUGGCCCUUUGCCCCUCAUCACCAAAUCUUAACUCUUUGGACUUUAAUAAUGUGCAAAAUUAAGAGGAAGUCUGGCAUCGGGAGCUUUACACAACUCAGAGAGAACUGAGGAAAGUAGUUAGCAUGUUAACUGUGCCUCACCUUGACCUGAAGUGAAGAGCACUCACCAAGCCACAACCUGCUAUCUGCACACCCCACACCAUGAGGUAAAGGACAGCCAAGGAAGAGAAAGGAAAGAAAAGCAAUCCGGCAGGGAGAUCAGGGAGCGAAACGAACAGAGAAACGAACAGAGGUUUUUUCCAAGGGCCUUCUAUUUUUCUACAAUCUCCACACAUUCAGUACUGAGACACAUUAAGAAGGGCCCACUGAGGCCAUCAUUCACCCUACUCUCGGGCUGCUUCCAUCCUCCAGGCUUCUAGAAGUUGAGAAAGUAUGAGCUUCAUUGUUAAUUAUAUUACAGAAAAUGGGACCAGCUGGGUUGCACCCACUCCCCUGUGUCUGGACCUCCUGCCUAUGUAGCAGAAAAGGAUCUUUCUGCUGAAUUAAUAUUCACCUCAGAGCCCUGGGAGAUGUCUGAUGAAAAGUAGUUUUUGAAGAGUCUUGUGACAACCAGCAAUUUCGGCAAAGCUAUGUCCUCAAGAGUCUUCCAGAUUUCCCCAACUCUACAGAAUGCUUUUCUUUUUAAAUACCAUAAUCCCAUAAUCUUUCUCAAAAAUUAUAAAACUGUAUUUUAUUUUUCUCAUUUAUUUGGGAGUUUGGUAAGAAACGUUUGGGAAGAAAUGCUUUUAUGGAGAAACUACUCAGAUUUGAAACUACCUAGUUUAUACUACCAGAAGACAGAGAUUCAGGUUAGCUAGUUUGCUAAUCCUCACAGUUUCAGAGAUAUGCCUUGUAUUUUUCCAGAUUAUAGGCUUUGAGGACAUUCACCAAUAGCAUCCUCCUCUGAAUGUAUUUUGGUCCUUUUGCUAAGCUAUGUCUUAUUUUAUAGUCCUCCAAAUGAUGAUCUAUGACUUCUCUGCCUGCUCAUUAGAGGAAGAAAAGCUCAGAUGCAUUGCUAACUAUUAUUUCAAUGCCAGUGGAACUGGAGAAAUGCUUGAAAAAGUAAUCUCAGGUUGUAAAAAAGAACUAUCUUUUUUUGGUUGCAGGAGCUAGAACCCUAUUAUUCUGAGAGUAAAUUUUCUAUUAUUCCUAUCUAAUUCAUUUUCUUGGGAGAUGAAACUCCCUCUUUUUUUUGGUGGGGAGACAGGGUCUCACUUUGUCACCCAGGAUGAUGAUGAUGGAGUGCUGUGGCACGAUCACGGCACACUGAAGCCUCGACCUCCUAGGCUCAAGCGAUUCUCUCACUUCAGCCUCCUGAAUAGCUGGGACCACAGACACACACCACCUUACCCAGCUAAUUUUUUGUAUUUUUUUGUAGAGACAGGGUUUUGCCGUGUUGCCCAGGCUGGUCUCGAAGUCCUGGGCUCAAGCGACCCGCUCACCUUGGCCUCCCAAAGUGCUGGGAUUACAGGUGUGAGCCCCUCACUGCUCCUGGCUCCCUCAUUAUUAUAUUUCCUGAAGUUGACAUGAUUUGGGUCCUUUACUUAGAAAUUGUCAUCACACAAUUUCAGAAAGGUAAAGAAAUCCAUUUUUAUUGGCAACUUUGGGCUAUGCUUCAUCCUGGCAAAAAUUUAAAAGCAGUACACUUCGACGUGGCUCACUUUCCUGCACACCUCAGGCAGCUUGUACAGACUAUCCAAGAAAAAAUGAGGAGGAAAGUGCUCCAUCAAGGAAGAGGGAUGAGAUGGGAGCAUAAUUCACACACUAAGAACUGAGUUCUAAAGUCACUUGAGCUUUCUGGAGCUCAGUUACCUGUAAAACAAGGAAGAAUGAAUGGUCUUUAUGGAAAAUGAAUGGCAGAAUAAGUGAUUUGUCAAGUUCAUUGAACUAUAAAUUCCAUUUUUACUGUCAUUUAUUUAUAACAAAGUUCAGAUAUAAAGAAAAAUCUGAACAUACAGUAGGCACAGAUAAACCUAUAGCAAAUAUUCACAUGUGGUUUGAAUGCAUUUAUUAAUCUCUGUACUUAUUAGAAUUAAUAAUAAUACUAAAAUGAUUUGGAGAAUUAAUGAUUAAUAACAGUGGAAAAUAGCCUUCCCAUUAUUGUUAGAGGAUGGUGCCAUCAUGAUGCUAAAUGCCUAUCUGAGGGGAAGCUCAUAAAUAUUACUUGACAAUAUUACUUGAUAAAUAUUUGUUGAAAAAAGAAAUGUAGUAAAGAAGCAAGGAUGGCUGGGCAUGGUGGAGCAUGGCUGUGGUCCCAGCUAACUUGGGAUGCUGAGGUGGGAGGAUUGUUUGAGGGAAGCUGAGUUUGCAGUGAGCCAAGAUUGCACUACUGCACUGCAGCCUGGGUGACAGAGUGAGACCCUCUCCAAAAAAAGAAAAAAAAAAAGAGAAAAAAAAGAAGCAGCAGCAACGAAAGGAGGGAGGAAGGGAGAAAGUUUACUUUGAUAUGCCAUAUGAUUGAAACAAAUGCUCUUUUUUCAAAGACAAGGAUUAUACUCCUUUGCAUUCCAGCUACUUUGGUCCAUUGUAACUUGGUAACCUUUGCCUUGAAAACAAAAAGAAUCCCUGGAUAUAAUCUCCUUCCUUGUAAUUUUUUUUAUAAGAUGCCAGUAUGGUAAUAGGUCCAUUAGCAAGUAAGUACAGGCACAUCUUAUUUUAUUAUACUUCUCAGAUACUGCAUUUUUUACAAAUUGAAGGUUUGUGGCAACCCUGCAUCAAGGAAGUCUGUUGACAUCAUUUUUGCAAUAGUAUGUACUCACUUUAUGUCUCUGUGUCACAUUUUGGUAAUUCUUGCCAUAUUUCACACUGUUUCAUUAUUAUCUCUGUUAUUAAAAUCUGUAGUCAACGAUCUUUGAUGUUGCUAUUAUAAUUACUGGGGGCACCAUGAACCACACUUAUAUAACACAGUAAACUUAAUAAAUGUGUGUAUGUUCUGAUUGCUCCAACAACCAACCUUUCUCCAAUCUUUCUCCUUCUUCUCAGGCCUCCUUAGUCCCUGAGACACAAUAUUGAAAGUAGAUCAAUUAAUAACCCUAAAAUAGCCUCCAGGUAUUUCAAGUGAGAGGAAGUUGCAAUCUUUCACUUUAAAUCAAAAGCUAGAAAUGAAUAAGCUUAGUGAGGAAGGUGUGUCAAAAGCUGAGACAGGCUGAAAGCUAAGCCUCUUAUGCCAAACAACCAAGUUGUAAAUGCAAAGGAAAAGUUCUUGAAGGAAAUUAAAAGUGCUACUUUGUGAAUGCAUGAAUGAUAAAAAAGUAAAACAGCCUUACUGCUGAUAUGGAGAAACUUUGAGUCAUCUGAAUAGAAGAUCAAGCCAGCCACAAAAUUCCCUUAAGCCAAAGCCUAGUUCAGAGCAAGGCCCUAACUCUCUUCAAUUCUAUGAAAGCUAAAGGGAGGUGAGGAAGCUUCAGAAAAAAAGUUUGAAGGUAGCAGAGUCUGGUUCAUGAGUUUGAAGAAAAGAAGCCUUGUGCAUCCAUAAAAGUGCAAAGUAAAGCAGCAAAUGUUGAUGUAGAAGCUGCAGUAAGUUAUCCAGAAGAUCUAGUUAAGAUAAUUAAUGAAAGUGGCUACACUAAACAAUAGAUUUUCAAAAGAGAUGAAACAGCCUUAUAUUGGAAGAAGAUGCCAUCUCAGACUUACGUAUCUAGAGAGGAGUAGUCAAUGCCUCACUUCAAAGCUUCAACCAACAGGCUUACUCCUUGUUAGAAGUUAACGCAGCUGGUGAUUUUAAGUUGAAAUCAAUGCUCAUUUACCAUUUCCCCAAAUCCUACGACUUUUCAGAAUUAUGCUAAAUCUAAUCUGCCUGUGCUCUAUAAAUGGAGCAACAAAGCCUGAAUGACAGCAUGUCUAUGGACAGCAUGGUUUACUGGACAUUUUAAGCUCACUUUUUGAGUCUUACUGCUCAGAAAAAAAAAGAAUCUUUUAAAAAUAUUGCUGUUCGGGCCGGGCGCAGUGGCUCAUGCCUGUAAUCCCAGCACUUUGGGAGGCCGAGGCCAAAGUCAGUAGUUCGAGACCACCCUGACUAACAUGGUGAAACCCCAUCUCUACUAAAAAUACAAAAAUAAGCUGGGUGUAGUGGUGGGCGCCUGUAAAUCCAGCUACUCAGGGGUCUGAGGCAGGAGAAUCACUUGAACCCC
RNAcentral lists this long non-coding RNA (6675 nucleotides) under Homo sapiens (human). RNAcentral describes it as "non-protein coding lnc-SLC35A5-1:1". Lineage: Eukaryota; Metazoa; Chordata; Mammalia; Primates; Hominidae. The record is from RNAcentral.